This 2986-nucleotide ribosomal RNA is filed under the name Salmonella enterica subsp. salamae serovar Greenside. Its description in RNAcentral is "bacterial LSU rRNA". It matches the Rfam family "Bacterial large subunit ribosomal RNA". The record is from RNAcentral. Lineage: Bacteria; Pseudomonadati; Pseudomonadota; Gammaproteobacteria; Enterobacterales; Enterobacteriaceae.
UUAAGCGACCAAGCGUACACGGUGGAUGCCCUGGCAGUCAGAGGCGAUGAAGGACGUGCUAAUCUGCGAUAAGCGCCGGUAAGGUGAUAUGAACCGUUAUAACCGGCGAUUUCCGAAUGGGGAAACCCAGUGUGAUUCGUCACACUAUCAUUAACUGAAUCCAUAGGUUAAUGAGGCGAACCGGGGGAACUGAAACAUCUAAGUACCCCGAGGAAAAGAAAUCAACCGAGAUUCCCCCAGUAGCGGCGAGCGAACGGGGAGGAGCCCAGAGCCUGAAUCAGCAUGUGUGUUAGUGGAAGUGUCUGGAAAGGCGCGCGAUACAGGGUGACAGCCCCGUACACAAAAGCGCAUAUGCUGUGAGCUCGAUGAGUAGGGCGGGACACGUGGUAUCCUGUCUGAAUAUGGGGGGACCAUCCUCCAAGGCUAAAUACUCCUGACUGACCGAUAGUGAACCAGUACCGUGAGGGAAAGGCGAAAAGAACCCCGGCGAGGGGAGUGAAACAGAACCUGAAACCGUGUACGUACAAGCAGUGGGAGCACAGGUUUACCUGUGUGACUGCGUACCUUUUGUAUAAUGGGUCAGCGACUUAUAUUCUGUAGCAAGGUUAACCGCAUAGGGGAGCCGAAGGGAAACCGAGUCUUAAUUGGGCGUUAAGUUGCAGGGUAUAGACCCGAAACCCGGUGAUCUAGCCAUGGGCAGGUUGAAGGUUGGGUAACACUAACUGGAGGACCGAACCGACUAAUGUUGAAAAAUUAGCGGAUGACCUGUGGCUGGGGGUGAAAGGCCAAUCAAACCGGGAGAUAGCUGGUUCUCCCCGAAAGCUAUUUAGGUAGCGCCUCGUGAACUCAUCUCCGGGGGUAGAGCACUGUUUCGGCUAGGGGGCCAUCCCGGCUUACCAACCCGAUGCAAACUGCGAAUACCGGAGAAUGUUAUCACGGGAGACACACGGCGGGUGCUAACGUCCGUCGUGAAGAGGGAAACAACCCAGACCGCCAGCUAAGGUCCCAAAGUCAUGGUUAAGUGGGAAACGAUGUGGGAAGGCCCAGACAGCCAGGAUGUUGGCUUAGAAGCAGCCAUCAUUUAAAGAAAGCGUAAUAGCUCACUGGUCGAGUCGGCCUGCGCGGAAGAUGUAACGGGGCUAAACCAUGCACCGAAGCUGCGGCAGCGAACGUAUCACUUAAAACGAUUCAGAAGCUUACGACUGACGGAGCGAAGCGACGUCAAAGCGUUCAUAAAAGUCGAGUCGGUUUAAGGAUACGUUCGUUGGGUAGGGGAGCGUUCUGUAAGCCGUUGAAGGUGUGUCGUGAGGCAUGCUGGAGGUAUCAGAAGUGCGAAUGCUGACAUAAGUAACGAUAAAGCGGGUGAAAAGCCCGCUCGCCGGAAGACCAAGGGUUCCUGUCCAACGUUAAUCGGGGCAGGGUGAGUCGACCCCUAAGGCGAGGCCGAAAGGCGUAGUCGAUGGGAAACGGGUUAAUAUUCCCGUACUUGGUGUUACUGCGAAGGGGGGACGGAGAAGGCUAUGUUGGCCGGGCGACGGUUGUCCCGGUUUAAGCGUGUAGGCUGACUUUCCAGGCAAAUCCGGAGAGUCAAGGCUGAGGCGUGACGACGAGGCACUACGGUGCUGAAGCAACAAAUGCCCUGCUUCCAGGAAAAGCCUCUAAGCAUCAGGUAACAUCAAAUCGUACCCCAAACCGACACAGGUGGUCAGGUAGAGAAUACCAAGGCGCUUGAGAGAACUCGGGUGAAGGAACUAGGCAAAAUGGUGCCGUAACUUCGGGAGAAGGCACGCUGACAUGUAGGUGAAGUGGUUUACCCAUGGAGCUGAAGUCAGUCGAAGAUACCAGCUGGCUGCAACUGUUUAUUAAAAACACAGCACUGUGCAAACACGAAAGUGGACGUAUACGGUGUGACGCCUGCCCGGUGCCGGAAGGUUAAUUGAUGGGGUCAGCGCAAGCGAAGCUCCUGAUCGAAGCCCCGGUAAACGGCGGCCGUAACUAUAACGGUCCUAAGGUAGCGAAAUUCCUUGUCGGGUAAGUUCCGACCUGCACGAAUGGCGUAAUGAUGGCCAGGCUGUCUCCACCCGAGACUCAGUGAAAUUGAACUCGCUGUGAAGAUGCAGUGUACCCGCGGCAAGACGGAAAGACCCCGUGAACCUUUACUAUAGCUUGACACUGAACAUUGAGCCUUGAUGUGUAGGAUAGGUGGGAGGCUUUGAAGCGUGGACGCCAGUCUGCGUGGAGCCGACCUUGAAAUACCACCCUUUAAUGUUUGAUGUUCUAACGUGGACCCGUGAUCCGGGUUGCGGACAGUGUCUGGUGGGUAGUUUGACUGGGGCGGUCUCCUCCUAAAGAGUAACGGAGGAGCACGAAGGUUGGCUAAUCCUGGUCGGACAUCAGGAGGUUAGUGCAAUGGCAUAAGCCAGCUUGACUGCGAGCGUGACGGCGCGAGCAGGUGCGAAAGCAGGUCAUAGUGAUCCGGUGGUUCUGAAUGGAAGGGCCAUCGCUCAACGGAUAAAAGGUACUCCGGGGAUAACAGGCUGAUACCGCCCAAGAGUUCAUAUCGACGGCGGUGUUUGGCACCUCGAUGUCGGCUCAUCACAUCCUGGGGCUGAAGUAGGUCCCAAGGGUAUGGCUGUUCGCCAUUUAAAGUGGUACGCGAGCUGGGUUUAGAACGUCGUGAGACAGUUCGGUCCCUAUCUGCCGUGGGCGCUGGAGAAUUGAGGGGGGCUGCUCCUAGUACGAGAGGACCGGAGUGGACGCAUCACUGGUGUUCGGGUUGUCAUGCCAAUGGCACUGCCCGGUAGCUAAAUGCGGAAGAGAUAAGUGCUGAAAGCAUCUAAGCACGAAACUUGCCCCGAGAUGAGUUCUCCCUGAGACUUAGAGUCUCCUGAAGGAACGUUGAAGACGACGACGUUGAUAGGCCGGGUGUGUAAGCGCAGCGAUGCGUUGAGCUAACCGGUACUAAUGAACCGUGAGGCUUAACCUU